This 465-nucleotide ribosomal RNA is filed under the name uncultured bacterium. Its description in RNAcentral is "bacterial SSU rRNA". It matches the Rfam family "Bacterial small subunit ribosomal RNA", at positions 35 to 507 of the family's 1533-position model. The record is from RNAcentral.
GCUGGCGGCGUGCUUAACACAUGCAAGUCGAACGAGGUCCACUGCGUAGCAAUACAAGGGAAGACCUAGUGGCGAACGGGUGCGUAAACACGUGAGGAACUUGUCCCGGGUCUCUGGGGAUAACAGUUGGAAACGACUGCUAAUACCGGAUGACGUCGGAAUCUCGCAUGGGAUACUGACGAAAGGGUUACUGGAUCGGGAGAGCCUCGCGGCCUAUCAGCUUGUUGGUGAGGUAACGGCUCACCAAGGCAUCGACGGGUAGCUGGUCUGAGAGGAUGAUCAGCCACACUGGGACUGAGACACGGCCCAGACUCCUACGGGAGGCAGCAGUGGGGAAUCUUGCGCAAUGGGCGAAAGCCUGACGCAGCAACGCCGCGUGCGGGAAGAAGGCCCUCGGGUUGUAAACCGCUUUCAGUAGGAACGAAAAUGACGGUACCUGCAGAAGAAGGUGCGGCCAACUACGUG